RNAcentral lists this long non-coding RNA (586 nucleotides) under Mus caroli (Ryukyu mouse). Its description in RNAcentral is "lncRNA (MGP_CAROLIEiJ_G0003448.1)". Lineage: Eukaryota; Metazoa; Chordata; Mammalia; Rodentia; Muridae. The record is from RNAcentral.
CACCCGGCUGCAUCACUGACCCCAAAUCGAAUGCACCAGGAACUGUUAGUGUCCGGCAUGCUGUAGUUCAGAAGCGCCAAGAACUCACGGCAGGAAAUGCUGUUUCAGGCAUAUUCCUUGUAAGGCUGCCUUCCUCACCCCCAUGUCCCAGGAGCUACUGGUGAAGGAGGACCCUGUAAGACAUGAGCCUGGAGUCCUAGGUGGUGACAAUAGAGGUCCUUUCUGAGCUGCUGCCUCUGUGUGGACCUCCACUCUGCCUGCAGUGUCAGACGCCAGCUACAUGAUCCCCAAAGGACUUUCUACCGUAAUAUCCGUUGCCCCAGUUCCUAACUGCCUACAUUCUAGAACAUUCUAGAACCCAGUGCUUUCUGUGCUUGAGGCUGUUUUGUAAAGAAGCUUAAACCUGUGCUAAAUUCUUGGAUAAAUAUCUUUACUGUCAACCUCUACUUCUGGGAAAUACGCCCUUCCCUUUGCUUUUCUAAGCUUUAAAUAUCGAAUGAAAUGUGUCCCUACGAUCUCUAUUUUGAUCUCUAUUAAAGAAAGCGUUUUUAAAUGACCCAAAAUAAACAACUUUCACCAAGUGACA